This 305-nucleotide ribosomal RNA is filed under the name uncultured bacterium. RNAcentral's name for it is "bacterial SSU rRNA". It matches the Rfam family "Bacterial small subunit ribosomal RNA", at positions 337 to 658 of the family's 1533-position model. The record is from RNAcentral.
UCUUUCUUGAGUUAUUAUUUGUGUAUAUUUCACAAUGGGGGAAACCCUGAUGCAGCGACGCCGCGUGAGUGAAGAAGUAUUUCGGUAUGUAAAGCUCUAUCAGCAGGGAAGAAGAAAGACGGUACCUGACUAAGAAGCCCCGGCUAACUACGUGCCAGCAGCCGCGGUAAUACGUAGGGGGCAAGCGUUAUCCGGAUUUACUGGGUGUAAAGGGAGCGUAGACGGCUGUGCAAGUCUGAAGUGAAAGCCCAGGGCUCAACCCUGGGACUGCUUUGGAAACUGUGGAGCUAGAGUGCUGGAGAGGU